This 465-nucleotide ribosomal RNA is filed under the name uncultured bacterium. RNAcentral's name for it is "partial 16S ribosomal RNA". It matches the Rfam family "Bacterial small subunit ribosomal RNA", at positions 28 to 507 of the family's 1533-position model. The record is from RNAcentral.
GACGAACGCUGGCGGCGUGCUUAACGCAUGCAAGUCGAACGGAAAGGCCCCUUUGGGGGUACUCGAGUGGCGAACGGGUGAGUAACACGUGAGUAACCUGCCCUUGACUUCGGGAUAACUUCAGGAAACUGGGGCUAAUACCGGAUAGGAAUCCUUGCUGCAUGGUGGGGGUUGGAAAGCUUCGGCGGUUUUGGAUGGACUCGCGGCUUAUCAGCUUGUUGGUGGGGUAGUGGCUUACCAAGGCUUUGACGGGUAGCCGGCCUGAGAGGGCGACCGGCCACAUUGGGACUGAGAUACGGCCCAGACUCCUACGGGAGGAAGCAGUGGGGAAUAUUGCACAAUGGGCGGAAGCCUGAUGCAGCAACGCCGCGUGCGGGAUGACGGCCUUCGGGUUGUAAACCGCUUUCAGCAGGGGCGAAGCUUGUGGUGACGGUACCUGCAGAAGAAGCACCGGCUAACUACGUG